AAACUAAGAUUAAAUCCUGACCCUUAUAAUUCAAUAAAAACUUCUAGAAGGGGAGGUUAUUUGACAGUUUCUGAAAUCUCUUUUGACUUUACAUAUCGCGAAGAACGGAGGCCACGAUCAAUAUCCAGUUACCUUGCAGUUUAUCUUCCAGGGAUUCAGUUUGCAUUGGUUUUAGAUGAUGAAGCGCUCCCAUGUUGUCCACCUCCCGCAAUUUCGCUGCAGUUGAAGACGGUUUUUGGGUUUGUACAAGAAUGCAGUUGUUAAAUAGUGGGUAUAAAACUAGGAAAAUAUAAUGUUUCUCAGAAAAGAUGUCUGGAAUCCGUCGCCGGAAUGAUACCUCCAACACCCGUCUCUCGCCAUUUUCAGUUUCAACCAGAGGCUGUUUGAUUUCGACGGUGGUGGUAACCUAAGGAUGAAUUAAUGGUUUGAUCUUCGCACAAGUUCUUUUGUUAGUUGUUCAGACCAACGGUACUCUCAAGCGGGCAUAUCAUUUGAUUUGGGUUGUUCCAAUAUGCAGUGCAGUUACCUGUAUAUUUUUAUCCCCACUUGGGUUUUUUAGUGGGUGUUUAGCGUUUUGAAGAAAGUGGCAAGAUUGUUGGGAGUGUUACAAGAUUUCCGGCUGUUAGUGUAGCUCAUAAGUCAUGGCUUUAAAUGUCUCAACUGUUGUUACAUGAAGGUUGUGAUAUCACUCAUUUGGAAGGGUUUUAAAGGAAACUACAUGUGAGCAGAAUCUGAUGGGUGGCAAUGCAGAACUCAAAGAUCUGCAGGGUGAGGUAUCGUGGUGUCUCGUGGCUAGAAUGUCUGUUAAUUUUAGGUAUUCUAUUACUAAAUCGUAGAUCCGGUGGUUAAGUGUCGUGGAUAGUGGAUAUGAGUCAAGAGUUAUCUUAUCAUACACAUUCUUUCGGCUUUGGUUCGAGUUCGAUCCCAGGCUCAAACUCGUGCUUGCCGCCGCCGGGUCCAGAUUACCGAGUCACCCCAGUCGACCACAAAGAAUAACUGUUCUAGGUUGUACGACGAUCACACCGAAAAAUCCUUGAAAUGGACACCACGAAAUGCCACAUAAGACGACAGAACAUGUUCCAAUCGGACCAGAUCAGUUACAGUCAAAGUCAAAGUUUGACCACUUCUUGAGGGUCAACGCUCCACCCAAAGGGCCUGAGCCCAGGUGGCUCAUGCAAAGUAAGCUCUCUAACUGGCCCUUUAAAGUGGUUUCCUCAUGACAUUGCGGAAUAAGUUUCUUUAAGCAUUAUCCAAAAUAGCCCUCCUUUUUACGCGUAUACUUCUAAGAACGGGUUGAUGAGAGUAGCCCGUUUACCCCAGCUAAGAGUGAUAGUUCAAGAAGCUGUCUUAGUGGCUACUCGGACCAGCCUAACUACAUGGCGUACACAGAGUCUUCACGGGCUAAAGGCAGGUCUGUAAGUGCACCUAGACAAAGGCCUCAUAUGGAGUUUCCUAGCACCACAGAGGUAUUCUGUCUACGGAUACGGUUUAGGUGAUCAUCGUGGUUCAAACUUGAAGGAUAAGUUUGUGAGCAAAGCGUAUCCGGGUUCGGGGCGACUUGAUCGACUUGGUCUGCCGGUCGGUGGCAUCGUUUUUCAUGAAGGUGAGUUUAGUGGUGGUUAUUGGAAUUAGCAACUUAUAUAUGUUAACUUUUUACAUUUGAGCAAGUGGUUGGAAUGCCAUUUGAAAGUUAUGAUGGCCUUUUUGUAA
This is a long non-coding RNA of Helianthus annuus (common sunflower), 1710 nucleotides long. RefSeq lists it as uncharacterized. The transcript has 7 exons. The record is from RefSeq and is a predicted model, not a curated record. Lineage: Eukaryota; Viridiplantae; Streptophyta; Magnoliopsida; Asterales; Asteraceae.